CAAAAAUAUUUUUUUUUUUUUUUUUUUUUUUUUAAUUUUUUUAUUUUUUUUUUUUUUUCAAGAAAGAAGUUAUUUUUUUAUUUAUUGUUUCAUUCGUUUUCAAAAUAAUUGUUUAUGAUUUGAUAUGAUUAAAAAUAUAAUUCUGUUAUAUGUAUAUAUAUAUAUAUAAAUAUAUAUAUCUCACAUCUCGAGAAAAUGCGGCGAAGUGAAACAGAGCGAGUUAAAUUACUUUAUCUUUAAAAAAAAAAUGUAUUAUUUAUAUAGAAGAAUUAAAUGAUUGAAACAACCGAUAAAAUACAAUGGAUUUUAAUUUUACGGGUUUAAAUUAUUUUCUUCUAUAUAAAGAAGAAAAAAUUUUGUAUAUAUACAUAUAUGUAUGAAAUUUUAUACUUUUACAUAAGUAAACUUCUCAUCCGAAGCUGAAAGAGAGCUAAAAGAUAUUGAAUCUGUCCUGAUCUAUAUCGAUCGAUCGCACACAAUGAUAAUAACAAGGUUUUAAUAACGAUGCCGCGAGAGCAUCCGAUUCGUUCGCAGGUGCCGCGGAAAGUGUUCCAACAAAAAAAUUCGCGUGGCUGUCGCGAGAUUUAAUUUGGUCGCGAAUUGCCUGCCCACCCUGCCCUUGCAAACUACGUUGCCUCGACAAAUGUGUCUAAUGUGUCUAAUUUAUUGAUGAUGCGAUGUAUAAUGCGACGAUAAUUAGCAAGUUAUUAGUUUAAUCUGGCAGACACAAAUUAGUUUAAUUGAGCGCUAGUAAUCUAAAAAGAAGGGUAUGUAAGAAAGAGAAAGAGUGGCGCGUGAAAAUGUGUGAGUGCACGAUCGAUGCGUGACACCAUGGUAUGUAUAUUGCAUGUGCGAGUGUGCUUUCUGGAUACUUGUUAUCCACAAUUAUAUCCACAAUUUUUCCUUCCGCUCUUUCGUUCGCAAAUUGUUAUUGCUUUAAUUUCGAAUUUUAUCGUAUAUAUAUUAGAUAGUCCAGAAAUCAAUUUCGAUUCUCAUGAUAAUAGUUCGACAUUUGCUGUAGAAUACAUUAUUGUUUUAUAAUAUGUAACAACAUUUAAUAUUAGAUGCGGGAAUAAACAUGAAGAGAAAAGAUUUUCGUAGGAAUUAUUUUUCUUAUAUAUAACUAUAUAUAUACACAUAUUUAAAUGCACAAAUGCCGAAACUUAUCUUAAGCUUAAUUAAGUAUUCGAUCAGAGAUUAAUGAUUUAAUGCAUGAUUUAGUUUUCAUUCAAAAAGUCUUGAAAAAUACACACAUAUAGAUAAGAGUCUCUUAAAAGAUCUUGAGGAAUAAGAACCGUUUUACACCGUAAACGAUCAUUUUUUGCAACAGAAGAAAAAUGACACUUCAACAUUAAACAUCUCGCAAUGUACGCGUUAGAAUCUGAAAACUUCUAAAAUUAAAAUGUACCAAACGUUUACGAAAGUCUUUCAAUUUUUUCGGAGAUAUGUUUUUUUGAACAUUGACUUUUUAAGUGAUUUUUAUCAAAUUGUCCGAGAAGAAUCCGUAAAUGAUAUAAAGUCCUUUCAUGGUAUUUUUUAAAUUAAAUAUUAAUACACACUUUUUUCUCAGAUCAAAAUUUUAUAAAAAUACGGGAAUAAUUUAUAAUUAAUUUGUAAAUAGAGAGUCUAUAAUUUGUAAAUAGUUUACAUUAUAUAAAUUUGCGUGUUUUUUUUUAUAAAUAAGGAAACUUUGUUUUCUUAAACAAAAAUUAAAACAAAUAUAAUAAAUUUUUUUUUUCUUUUUUUUUCUAGAAGCCACGCACAUUUUCUUUCAAUAUCAAAAAUAAAAAUAAAUAUUUGAUUUGAAAUAAGUUUAUGGAAAACAAAUAGAGAAAAAUGAUCGAAAUGAAAAUACAUUUUAUCAUAUAUGUACACAUAUAUAUUUAGAUAUAAAAUGCAAUUUAAUAUUUGAUAUAAUUUUAUGUAUGAAAAAUGCUAUAUAUGAUAAAAUAUAUUUUGCAAUUUCAAAGCUUCAUGUUUCUCUCUCUAUUUAUUUUCUAAUAAAAUUUGAAAAUAUUUGAAUAAAGCACGUAUUAUUCUUAUAUCUAGAAUUUGGUGGAUUAUGUCAUAGAAAAUAAAUUAUUUACUCGAUAAUUUCACAUCAUCAAAGUGUGUUCAGUGGAAAGCUUGAUAAUAAUAUAUAUUUGCUUCUUUUUGAAUCAAAUAAUCUCAUUACAUAUUUUCGAGUGAAUCGAGUAACGGAGAUGAUAUAGAUUAAUUUAAUCAUAUUUUAUAUUAUCAUUAUUGUUCUCGAACAUGGAAAAUGAAUGUAGAAAAAAUUGUUGGAUUCAGAAGAACACAUUAUUAUCAGUAAAAAUUUUUUGAUCAAGAUCAUAAAAUUUUCAAAAAUUCAACGUUCUUUUAAAUAUGAAACUAUGCAAUUUUUCAACAUCACAUAGAAACACUCGUAUUCUUCUAGUCAUUCUACGUAAAAAAAAUAUUAAAAAUAUGUCAAAAAGUUUAUGAAAUAUUUUGUUUUUUAUCUUUCAAUGUUCUGUGUGUGUGACAAAGUAUGAAAUAUUUCAUAUAGUAUUUAAGAUUCACUUCGUCUCAUGAUCUUAUCUUAAUUUUUUUUACCGAUAAUUGCAUGUCCUAUUAUAAAAUCAUACUAUAAUCAAUACUAUAAUCUAUACAAGUUAUUAUUAUUUAUUAUUAAUAUUUUAAUCAUAAUUACUUUUAUAUAUUAGUUUUUAAUAAUGUAAUGAAUAAUUAUUUAAUAAUUUAAAAAUGCAGAAUGGCAUAAUAUAAAUAUUUUGAUAAUGAUAAUGAUUCGAAUAAUGAUGAUUGACAUUAAUUAUAAUUAUGUAUUUAUAAUCAAUUAUAUAAUUAAUUUUUACACUUCUUAUAAAGCAGUGUUUGCACGAGUACGGAUGACCGAAUUCAUUAUUAGAUUCUUGCCUAGAAAAUUUUUUUUCUUGAUUAUCAAGUUUUUCAUUCGUAAUUUUAUCAAACGAAUUCAUGCGCAAUUAUAUAAUACUUCUGAGAUUGUCAAUAAAUAAUAUACUUGUCUGAUUUUAGUUAUUGAUACAUACACAUACACGCACACACACACACACACACACAGUCUUCGUCGAGAAAUAUCGUAUUCUCAAGGUCGCGUGUUUGUCGAUACGAUUAAUUUUCAUGCCCGAAGACUGAGACAAAAGGAUUUAUGAUGGUUCCGUCAAAAUGGAGUGCCGAGCCGCGUCUACUGCGAUUGUCAUAUAUAAGAGUCCUUGAUAACUAUUUACAGGAUCUGCCAUAUAUAGCAUCGGAGUCGCUCGUGCACUUAUUAAGCUUGUGCCUCUUUAUCUUAAGCGUCUUCGACCUACAUUCCACGUGCUUUAUUAUCUUAAGCGUAGAUAAGACCCACUCUACGCUCUAGAAGAUAUAGAUUAUUUCCGUUUUCUUAUCUCAAAUUUCAAAACAUCGGUGAUUAAUUUUUCAUGGAAUAGGUAACAUUGUAUGAAUAUGACAAUUGUGAUUAUAGUUAAAUAUUUGUGAUUGUACAGAUAUUUUGGAUAGAAUAAGGCUAUAUCGAAAGGAAAGAUAAUUUAAUAUUUAGAUAUGAAAAUUUCCAAAAUUAUUCGUUCACAAUAAUCAGGCAAAUUUUGAUCUUUUUUAUCGGAUCUUUUAUUCAAUAGGCAGUAUAGUCACUUUGGUACUGAGCGCCACUUCCAUUUCUCGCCUAUAUAUAUAUUUUUUUUUUUAUUGUCAAGUCCAUUCUAGAUUCUCAAAUUUCACAGAACACCUUGUAACAGAACAUUGCACUGCCACAGAUUCGGGUCUCAUAUUUUUCCCUUUAUUAUUUUUUUAUAAUUAUUUCUAUUUCUCUACUUAAAUUUCAAAUGCUAUUCUUAAAUUUAUUUUAUUGAUUAUAUAUUAAUGCUAUAUGUGUUUUGAGAUUCUCACAAUUUGCUUUUGUUAAUAAAUCAGAGAUAUUUAAUUUUAGUGAUGAUCUGAAAAUAUUUUUUGAAGAUAUUUAAAAAACUGAGAUCUUUCUAAAACCCAAAAAAAUUUUCGACAAAGUUUAAUUUCUGUUAAAAAGUCAAUGUUUAAAAGAGAGUCUCCGAAAAAAAUAUAUAUUUAGUAAAUGAGAAAAAGCUGGAUAAGUAGAUUUGGUACAUUAGCUGAAAACCAAUUUACUUAUUUUUAUUUUGAUUAAUAACGUUUAUUCUUACGCAGGGAGGAAUUAAUUAAUUAGCGCUAGAAAUCGAAAUUUAUUUCUGGGCAAAUAAUCGCGUUAGAGAACCAACACUUGACUGAAUGUGACAUAAUAAUGAUUCAAUGGUUCUCUCUUCAAUUUGUGUAUUAAUUAUCUUAACUUGAUACAGUAUGUAUCAAUUAAAUCAAAUAUUGGGUCAUUUGUCUCGUGACCUAAAUUAAUUGUAUUUUAAAAUAAUCACUUUUCAUGCUGAAGAAGCAAAAUUCAACGCGUCAUUUUGUGAGCAAUUUAAGUUUAGAUUUCGAUUUAAUUAAUUUUUUUUUUAAAUUUCUUUUCCUGAUGUAUUUUACGGCGAAAGAACGGAAAGUGAUGGAAUUCUUCGUCGAUUAUUCAAGAUCACUUUGGAUCAGCCGCGUAAAUGUAUCUUAUACGUUCUGUUGCUCUUGUGUUUUUAAAGCAGUGGACCUAUUCUCUGCAGAUAAAAAUGAAAUGUAAAAAUUUUAAAAAUGAGAAUAAAAAUUUGAAAAAAAAGAAACAGAAAAUUGAGAUAGAAUACAUGAAAUAUGUAAAGCAAAGACGUAAAGCCUGUUAUAGACAGUAAUCCAAUUUUAUACCAAAUGACUUAUAAAAUUAGAACCGAUAUGGAAAAUUCUCGUCGACUGCGAAAUAAAAUCGAAGCUAACCGGAAGCCAAUUUUCGAGUCGAACGUAAAACAUUAAAAAAAAAAAAACCUUUCGGUAUUUUUCUCGUAAGUGUAAUGUGUAUAUACGAGAGAGAAAUAUCGGGGCUCUUCAGCCUCUGAUUAACAUGUGUGAGAGCAAUAAAAAUCGAAGUCAAGGAACCCACGUGAUCUGAAGAAACCUCGAGAUUUUUUUACAAGGUAGGACCUGCGAUCACAAUGCAUUCAGUUAUUGCACUCCGCUGUAACUGUUGCAUCGCGCAUUUUCUUGCUAUUUCUCAUGAUUGUCACUUUAAUCUUUCCACCAAAUUUUGCCAGAUUCUCAAUUCGUUAUUUUUCAAACGCGAUUAUUAAAAUAAUAUAUAUUAAAAUUUUAUUUUGAUAUUUUUUUAUCCCUUUUUUUUAUCUCUUUAUUCCUCGAGCAAUUAUAAUGAAUGCGUGAAAUAAAGUAUUAUAGUAAAUAUGUCUGGGCUGCAUUCCAAGAACGAUCGGCUAACAUUUUAUAAAAAAACCAGAGUAAGCUGAUUCGAAUAAAUUCAAAAUGAGAAAUAGUGGAAAAGCGUAAUGAAGGAGUCAGACUGCGUCUCGUGGACGCUCGGAAUCGCAGUAGCGGAAUUUGCGUUUCACAAGGACUCUUGUUAGACGCGAUCUAUGUAAAUUAAGACUAAGGAGGUUUAAAGAAAUAAUAUUCCUCAUCUCAAAAGCGAGGAUCAUCAGAGUCGCCUCUGAUUGCACUCUAUUUUUUUUUAACAAACAUGCUCCCAUCCAUAUAUUAUUACGCGUUUUAAAACGAACGCGAGUCUUCUAUUUUAGAGUAGGGUUUUGGAGUACAACCCUCUCUGGACUUAUUAUAACGAGCGAUCUCACGUCUAUUUAAAUGUAAGUUUUUACGCGUUUUCAGCGUAUUAUGACACAUUAGCGGUAUCAUAUAACUGACACAUAAACUGAGAUACAAAACUUAUAAGUAUAUAAUGCCUUAAUGUUAAUGAUAAUAUCGGAAGCGUUAUUGUAUAAUUAGCUGAGACAGGAAGGGGCGGAGAUACUUGUGGUGGAAAGGAAACCAGGCCAACAUACAAAAUGCCGAAGACGCGAUCGAUGUCUCCAUUUUGUUCGCGAUAUUUGAUAUUUUCUUAUAAUUCCAAUAAAAUGAGAGAGAGAGAGAGAGAGAAAAAGAAAGAGUGUGUAAGUGAAGUGUGUCCCAUAGCGAAUUGCUAUCUAAAAUAGUUCAAGCUAGAUGUCGAUGUUUGUAGCAGAUAAAGAACAAUGCAACGCAGCAUAUUGUAAUUAAAAAAAUUAAAAACUCAUUAAUAUCA
This is a long non-coding RNA of Cataglyphis hispanica, 6136 nucleotides long. RefSeq lists it as uncharacterized. The record is from RefSeq and is a predicted model, not a curated record. The transcript has 2 exons. NCBI's taxonomy places the organism in Eukaryota, Metazoa, Arthropoda, Insecta, Hymenoptera, Formicidae.